Molecule: long non-coding RNA, 669 nt
Filed under: Calidris pugnax (ruff)
Lineage: Eukaryota; Metazoa; Chordata; Aves; Charadriiformes; Scolopacidae
Description: lncRNA (ENSCPUG00000001961.1)
Source: RNAcentral
CUGCCGCGCCCCCCCCAGCCCGCCAGGGGGCGCUGCUCCCUGCCGCCUCGACUCCGAGCGGCCGAGAGGCUGCCGGGAACCGCCAUUUUCUUGCCGUGCGCCGGCGGCGGAGCGGUCCCCGCAGCCGGUGCCGGCGAGGAGAAGGACGCCGUGCGGAAUGUAAACAUUGGGAUUUGUUCUAAAGAUUGGUGGAAAAUAGAGAUGAAACCAGUAUCUGCUUUGAUUAAUCUAUUACCAAACUUGAUCUGGUUGGAUGCUAAUUUCUUAAGGAAAAACUAUUAUGCAAAUUUGUCCUACUCUUACCUAUUGAGAGCACUGCCAUGAAUCCAUUCUUGCUCUCUUCUGUACCCAUAUGACUUCAUGAAGAAAAAUACAAUAGGAAAAUCAUUCUGGGAAUGGUAUGUUUCUAUUGGCCUCUUUAUUUCUAAGAUGGAAAGAGUGUAAAAGUCUUUGUGACUGGAGUCAAGAAUUGGGAGGAUCUAACAGCCUACUAUAACCUUGAGCAGCUGACUGGCUGAUGGGAAGCUAAGUAGGACCUGUUUGAAAAACAGACAGAUGAAGCUGAGCUGAAGGAUUUAUGUAAGCUUUGGCACUGAAUCAAAAGGCAUUGUGUAGAUACAUACUCUCUUUAAAAAUAAAUAUCUCUAAGCAGAAUAUUUUUUUUUUAAU